Molecule: small RNA, 120 nt
Filed under: Anaerococcus octavius
Lineage: Bacteria; Bacillati; Bacillota; Tissierellia; Tissierellales; Peptoniphilaceae
Description: Streptococcus sRNA SpR18
Source: RNAcentral
AAGAGAAUUAAAAAUGACUACUGGGAUUAAAAUGGCAACAUUUGUUAAAAAGAAUAAAUUGAAUAAUAGAUCCAAGCACUUUACAUUUGAAAGAAAAACAAAGAACGUAGUUUAAAACUG